This 293-nucleotide ribosomal RNA is filed under the name uncultured bacterium. RNAcentral describes it as "partial 16S ribosomal RNA". It matches the Rfam family "Archaeal small subunit ribosomal RNA", at positions 455 to 747 of the family's 1478-position model. The record is from RNAcentral.
GUGCCAGCCGCCGCGGUAAUACCGGCAGCCCGAGUGAUGGCCGGUCUUAUUGGGCCUAAAGCGUCCGUAGCUGGCUGCGCAAGUCCGUCGGGAAAUCCACUCGCCCAACGAGUGGGCGUCCGACGGAAACUGCAUAGCUUGGGACCGGAAGGCUCGAAGGGUACGUUCGGGGUAGGAGUGAAAUCCUAUAAUCCCGCACGGACCACCGAUGGCGAAACCACCUCAGGAGGAUGGACCCGACAGUGAGGGACGAAAGCUAGGGUCUCGAACCGGAUUAGAAACCCCAGUAGUCC